UUUUUUUUUUUUUUUUUUUUUUUUUUUUUUAAGAUACGAAAAAUUGAAGCCCUGCAUAAUGGGCAGCAAGGGAAAAAAAAGGCAGCUGCAGUAGGUGCCUACUGCUGGGGGAACAUGAACACAAGCUUCACCGGUGCGGUGAGGCACUGCCAGCAUGCAGAUCUUUCUCUGCAAGCGUGCAUGGACACUGUGAUUUGUAGCCAGAGAGACCUUUAUGCUUGCUGAAAACAAAAUGAUUGUACAGCUUGUUGAAGUCAGAACACUAGAGAUCAGAGAGGUGACAUUCAGAGCUAGCCCUUUGAGUACUUCAAAGGAAACACAAAAAAAUUAAUCGGGUCAUGUUCAACAUACUAAACAACCUUACUAUGUACAUUAUACGCAAUGAUUUAUAAAUACCUAAGCAGAAUGCUCUCUACUGUAUACAGGUAUAACAUACUUCUAGAGUACUCAAAGGAUGAACAGUCCUCGACUGACUCACGUUAACAAAAUUAAGUAGCACGUUAAAGAGCAUCUGUUGACAAACAGAACCGAAUCUCAUUCAGAAAGUAAGGCCUGGUUCUACCAUUUGCAGUCCCGAGUGUGCCAAUAGUAUUGGAAAACACAGGUCACUGGAGCAGCAGCCGGUUGCACGUAUCUUGUCAAGGAUGAGCUGUUAACUCCUACCGCAGUGUCAGCACACGCACCAGCAUCAGUUCAGGGACGAUACAGUGCAUUCACUCUCAGUGCAUACUAACAGGAUUUGAUAAAACAUAUAAAAACAUUUGAGACGGAAUUCAAUUCCUGGAGAUCUAAUACAGUGUGCCAUUAAAAACAAAAACAAAGAAACAAACAGCAAACGGUGACUGACCAAGCUCCAUUACAGCUGGGAGGGACUAAUCUCCAUCUGGUCAGCUGUGCUGACCUUCUGAACCACAGAUCUGGAACAGAAGAUGCUGAACUGAGAUGGGGAGAAAGAAAGGCAUAAAUACUAAACAGUCAAAGUACAAAUUAAAAAAAAAAAAUCAAAAACAAACCAAACAAGAAAAAACCACAAAGCCACUACUAAAAAUUCACACAAGACAGCUAACUGCUGCCAACAAGUUGGCUGAGUAUUUCCUCAAAAGGGAAAAUAAAUUUGUGUUAGAGUAAAAUAAUCUGAAUCAUUCAAAAUUUAAAAAAAAAAAGAAAAAGAAGAAGGAUAUUCUAACAAGCAUACUGAAAGAUGUUGAAAAGAAAUGGUCCACGGAAAGGGAGACACCAACCAUGGAGCAGCCAAUCCUUCCCCUCUGGUGAGGAUGGCUUUUCUGAGCCUGUGGGAAAGACCCUGGGGGAAUCCCACCCACAAAGAUCUCACUGUUUCUCCUGCUAUGGCAUUACUCAUUGGGAAAGUUGAGGGAACUAACUGUGCAGCAAGCAAAAGCCUGGACACAUCCUGACAAACUUGGGAGCAGGUCACCUCCUCUGUUCUCACAUCAGCAAGGAAAAGGACCAACAAGCUUUGCAGUCCAAUCUCACAUAGUCCCCACCAGCCCCAGUCCUUCCUGAGCUGAGGACUGGGAGGGAAGCUGGCACCAAGCAUCACCUCCCAGCUCCUUGAGGCGAGGGCUGAGACACAGGGAUAAACUGAUGGCAAGGGAGGACAAUGUGGCUUUACCCUCCCCACUGCACUCUCACGCUGCAUAGACUCUCACGUUCUCAGUACACUACCAAGGUGUCCCUUCAGCUCCCCAAAGGGGAAAUGGAGGGCUUAGAGAAAGACCAAGACACUGAGAACAGCCAGGGAGCACACAUCCAUCACCACAGCUGCAGCCAUAAGCUGCAGGUCCAUCAUCCUCUUGCAUUGCUGGCAGUGGGGGCAAAAAGCCAGUUCCGAUCCAUUUCAUGUUUGGCGUGGGCAUGCCCAUCAGCUGGGAUCCAGCCCAGGGCCAAACACAGCACUAGCAUCCUCCUCCUUCCCCUGGUUACAGGCAGAGGCAGGGGAGCUCACCCUCUGCAAACAGAGAGUCUUCCUUUGGGAAAGCUGGUGCUGUGAGGUAUUUGGCUGCUGCUGGUUUGGCUCUGACGUGGUCUGCGUCACCAGGCUGCAAAAGGAUUUGCCCUGUGGCACCCUUACCCAGAGCACCCUGCUGGCAGUAGUGCCCAGCAAGGCCUCUCCACACCCCUCCAAAAUGCAGAGCACCCAUCAGGGCUGUGCGUGGUGCUGGCCAGGAAGAAGAAGGUUUCUAAAGGCAGCUAACAGCACUGCAGUCUCUUCAGGCACAGGAGGAGAGAUGUGGCAGGCAACCAGCAUUGUCGCAGCUGGCUCAGCAGGUGCUUCCAUGGGAAUUUUUUGUUCAGUUUCAGACACCUUUUCUGUCCUCUGGGGUGAACAUUUUGCCCAAAGCACAAAGGAGUUGUGGGACAAAGCCGUUCACCACCCAACACCAGUGGGUUGGGUCAGAGCAGAUCAGCCCUUUGACACUAUAUACUUCAAAAAUGCAGCUAGCCUCACAAGGCAGCACUGAGAUAGAGCCCUGCCAGCUGCCACUGCCUACCCAUGGCACACUCAGAACCUAAUCCAACACCCACCCACCUAACUCCAGUGUCCUGUUCGCAGGCCAUCAGUCCCAGAACUGGGUCUCAGGUUCCCUUUGUGGAGUAACAAGUAACCUGGAGAGUCUUUUGAGCAUAUGAAAUAGCCAAAUGGGUUAGGAGGGGAGAAGUAUUUACAUAGUCAAUGAAAGGAGCAAGAGCCCAGCUGUUCUGCACAGCACAGCUGGCUGGAGAGCAGUUACACAGAAAUUAGCCCACUGGAGGUCAGUCAGAAGAACUAUGUACAAAAAGUCAGAUGUUUAAAAAGAACCUACUUUUUCAUUACUCACUUGAUAUCUCUCAGUAUUAAAGCAUCCAAGGGUGGAAUCACAACCACAUCUGCAAAGAUGUCCCUGAAGACAGCUCUGCAUGCUAGGCAAGCUGCAGCAGGGAGUACAAAACAGGACCACAAGACUUGCAAGAAGAGGAGAACCUAGCCGGAAUGGCCGAGAGAGCAGGUAACCAGCACACAGAAACCAAAACUGGGUAUGAAC
RNAcentral lists this long non-coding RNA (3044 nucleotides) under Strigops habroptila (Kakapo). Its description in RNAcentral is "lncRNA (ENSSHBG00005016745.1)". The record is from RNAcentral. Lineage: Eukaryota; Metazoa; Chordata; Aves; Psittaciformes; Psittacidae.